Molecule: RNA transcript, 3081 nt
Organism: Gossypium arboreum
Lineage: Eukaryota; Viridiplantae; Streptophyta; Magnoliopsida; Malvales; Malvaceae
Gene name: probable acyl-activating enzyme 16, chloroplastic
Exons: 4
Source: RefSeq, a predicted model, not a curated record
GUAUUAAAUAGCAAUAAUUACGUUGGCAGGAGAAAAGUCCCGCUGCCUGCUUUCAUCAGUCUUUUCAAAUCCCCUUCAUUCCCCAUCAUUGGAAAUUUAAAUCCUGUCUCCAUGCCUUUCCCAUUUCUUCACCAUCUCUUUCUCUUCAAAUUUUUGUUCUCAUUCGUUUUUAGCUUUGGGUAAUCAGAGGUGAAAUACACCCCAUUUAUUUCUCUUUCUCUCGCUUGCUCUAUUUUCAAGUUCUUUCUCAUUCUUUUUCAGUUUUAGUUUAACCAGAGGCUAAAGAAAAAACACAUAAGCACGUUACAGUAGGAAUAUAGUUUUCGUUAGAGAGAUAAAGCCUAAGUUUUCUCAGUAGUUUCUUUUUUUUUUUUUGUGAUAUUAAAAUCACUUGCUUCAUCGGAGGGUCAUUUUAGAUCUAUGCUUCUUUAGAUGUAUUUCAGUGGGUUAUUUUGGGUUUUCAGCCCUAGGAAAUACUGUUUCGGUUCAUAUUUUCAAAUCUAUGGAUGUCGGUGUGGUUGUUCUUGUUGGAUGCUUUGAGAAAGAAAGAAACUCUGGUUCUGCAAGAUUUUACCAGCAGUGGCCUCUCUUUUACAGUCAACUACUUUAUUAUUCAUAUUCUCCAUUACAUUGAUUCUUGUCCCAAACAGACACGCUAUUCCCUUCAUCGUAUCGCACGGUAAUGUUCUUAUCUCAAUAUCUUUUCUUUUUAAUUUUAAUUGCCUAUUGGGUUUGAAUUAAUCAAAGUUUCUCACUUUCACUUGUUAUGUUGGGUCAAUUGUUGAUUUCCAUGGAAAUGGGAACUAUGUUUUUGGAGAAACCAAUGAACCGCAAUGAUUGUUUGCUUGGUGGGGUUAUUGAAACCUGUCAUAUGCUAUGAAGCUCCAUUAGUAAUUGUAGAACAUGGUGAUAAACAAAAUGAUUAGUGCAAGAUGUUUGUUAUCGUCUUGCUGGCAAAUUUUGUUCCAAUGCAAGGAUGAAAUUUAUUGUUCUACUUUGGGGGGAGAAAUCACGCCUGGCCAACAAUGAAACACUCGGUGUACCUGUAUUCAGUUAUAAGGAGAUGGUGAAGUUAGGAAGAGAAAAUUGUGCUGUCCUUAUUGAUUCUCUUGAUGCUAGAAAAGGUUGCAGAUAUGAAGUGAUCGGCUCACAUGAUAUUGCUGCCAUUGUAUAUACGAGUGGAACCACUAGUAACCCAAAAGGCAUUAUGCUUUCACAUAAAAACUUAUUGCACCAGAUAGAAAAUUUGGGGGUUCUUGGACCUGCUAAAGCGGGGGAUAGAUUUCUAAGUAUGCUUCCUACUUGGCACACAUAUGAGCGGGCUUGUUAGUAUUUCGUAUGUACGCAUGGAAUUGAGCAAGUAUAUACAACUGUGAGAACUUUGAAGGUUUUGUUUAUUUUAGGUUUACAGUCUUUAAAUUUAUAUAGAAUAAAUUGAUAAAUAUGAAUCACUUUGACUUAAGUUGUACCAUGUUCACUAGUACAUUCAAUGAUUCUCUUCUUUGCUUAAUUGUUAGUUUAUUAGUAAUUUAAAUAUGUUGAUUAUGUAUAUUUUUAUUUUGUUUUGUAGGAUGAUUUGAGAAAUUAUAAGCCAAAUUACAUGAUUUCAGUACCUUUAGUGUAUGAAACAUUCUAUAGGUAUGUCAUUUACUUGGGAGUUGGGACAUCGAUGAUCUUAAUUAAUUAGCUUCGUUGGAAUUUUUAUCUUUGCAACAACUAUAUAUUACUAUUAUAUUUGUCUGUGCAGGCAAUUGAGUUCUCUUUAAUAAACAAAAAGAAAAAAAAAAGUUAAUUGUUUAUGUUGCAUUGCAUCCAUAUGUCUUGUAAUUUUAUGUGUUCCAUCAGUUUUCGGUCAUGUUGCAUUCCCAAUGAAUAUUAUAAACUAUAUUGUGGUAUAAUUGUUCUGUGGAAUUUGUAUAGUCAGAUAAAAAAUUCCAAGUAAUCACCCGUAAGAAAAAGCUAACAUGGAGAGAAAAAUGUAAGGUAUGCGAGGUAGAUGGUUUUAAUUGGUGGGAUCAUUGAUGAUGUUGUGGAAAUGGUUCAUGAAAUAAUUUUUCCACAAGAAUGGGAUCUUGAAUAGGGGUGCAAAUGAGUUGUGUCGAGCUAAAGUUUUUAAAAGCUCGAUCUUAAGCUCAACUUGAACUUUGAAGAUUAAAGCGCUGCUUGAGUUCGAUUGAGUUUCAUUUUUCAAAAACUUGAGUGUAAAGAUCGAACUGCUCAAGUUCACUUGAUUUGGCUUGUUUACCUAGUAAAAAAUGAGCUUGAUUCCCAUGCUCAAGUUCAAACUUACUUAUUUGUGCUCAAGCUUGAGUUCAAAUUGAAAUUUUUCAAUAUUAACUAAAGAUAAAAGGUUCAAGUCGCUUGAUGGCUCAAGCUUGAGCUCAACUUGAAGAUGACUGAUUUGAGUUUUUUUUUCUUCUCUUUGCCAAAUCCAAGUAAGGCUAUCAAGCUUGAGUUCAACUUGACAAUGACUGAAUUGAUUUGAGUUUUACUUGUAGCCGAAUCCAAGUGACUUAUGGGCACAUGUAUCUGGUUUUUACCCCUAUUAUUGAUGUUCAUUUUUUAGAUACGAGAGUUACACGUUUGUAAUUUUAGAUUAAUUCUAGAUGGUUGAGCCAUGCAUGAUUAGUUGAUUAAAGAAAUUACUUACUCUGAUGAAUCGAAAUAAUUUUCUUGUGAUAAAUAUUCCCCUUCAUUCUGUAUGUUGGAUUCAUCUUCAUGUUUAAAUUAUCCAAAUUAAAUGCUAAUUAUACUAUUAUGACCGAUCUCUGGUUAAACUUAUUGUGUAGGGAAACUAUUUGAUUCUAAAUGUUGCUUUUAAAAUAUUUUUGGAUUACCUUGUAGUGGAAUUCAAAAGCAGAUAUCUUCCAGCCCCAAUGCUAUUAAAUUAAUAGUAUUUUCAUUCAUAAGGAUCAGCUUGGCAUACACGGAGUUGAAGAUAAUUUGAGGUGAUGGCAAUUUUUGUGAAACUAAAGUUGAAUUCUGCAGAUUCCUUGUUAAUGCUUUAUGUUCUUAUGCACUCUUCCAUGGCUUAAAGUCAUUCAUUAAUGCCCAAAAAAUUGAGAGAAAUGGGGAUUAAAA